Molecule: non-coding RNA, 262 nt
Organism: Cucurbita pepo subsp. pepo (vegetable marrow)
Lineage: Eukaryota; Viridiplantae; Streptophyta; Magnoliopsida; Cucurbitales; Cucurbitaceae
Source: RefSeq, a predicted model, not a curated record
UAGAUAUUGUCCUCUCUCGACUUUUUCUUCUGGGCUUCCCCCAAGAUUUUAAAACGCGACUACUAAGGAUAGGUUUCGACACCCGUAUAACGUGGGAUCUCACAAAAUUAGUCCAAACAAAGAAAUAGAAAAGCUAUCAUAUAUGCAAAGUAAAUCGAUAAAUGAAGUCGGUAACCCUUGAGGGGAAAAUGGCAGGUAAAAGCACUAUCUGGGAUGUGUAUAUGACAGAAUUUCAACCGAUGUGAGAUCUCACAAUCCACCC